GGACGAACGCUGGCGGCGUGCCUAACACAUGCAAGUCGAGCGAGGAGAUUCCUUCGGGAUGAUCCUAGCGGCGGACGGGUGAGUAACACGUGGGCAACCUGCCUCAUAGAGAGGAAUAGCCUUCCGAAAGGGAGAUUAAUACCUCAUAACAUUGCAGUUUCGCAUGGAACAGCAAUUAAAGGAGUAAUCCGCUAUGAGAUGGGCCCGCGGCGCAUUAGCUAGUUGGUGAGGUAACGGCUCACCAAGGCGACGAUGCGUAGCCGACCUGAGAGGGUGAUCGGCCACAUUGGGACUGAGACACGGCCCAGACUCCUACGGGAGGCAGCAGUGGGGAAUAUUGCACAAUGGGGGAAACCCUGAUGCAAGCAACGCCGCGUGAGUGAUGACGGCCUUCGGGUUGUAAAGCUCUGUCUUCAGGGACGAUAAUGACGGUACCUGAGGAGGAAGCCACGGCUAACUACGUGCCAGCAGCCGC
Molecule: ribosomal RNA, 475 nt
Filed under: uncultured bacterium
Lineage: Bacteria
Description: bacterial SSU rRNA
Rfam family: Bacterial small subunit ribosomal RNA
Source: RNAcentral